This 238-nucleotide long non-coding RNA is filed under the name Nicotiana benthamiana. Its description in RNAcentral is "long non-coding RNA (NBEN_LNC007629)". Lineage: Eukaryota; Viridiplantae; Streptophyta; Magnoliopsida; Solanales; Solanaceae. The record is from RNAcentral.
UAAAGUAUAAAUACCCUACUCCUUUUUGUUGAAAAAUAACAACUUUGGGUUCAAAAAUACACUCACACACUAAAAGCUCUCUUUUCUUUACUACCACUUUAUGCUACUGUUUUGUCUAGCAGGCUGAAAGCCAAGGCUAGACCGUGGAAGCUUUCUUACUUGUCUCGAGUGUUUUGCUGAAGUUUUGAGUGGACUAUCUGGCUGUUUACUUGUCUUGCUGUACUAGAAUUUCAACCGG